AACACGAAAGAUGCUCGUUGUUGUUGUUGACAGUUCUUAGACUUCAGACAAACAUUCCACGAAGGAUUACAUGUUUCUGACGCAUGAGUUUGGAGACGUAAGAUUAAAGAAAGGGAAUGCAUGCAGUAUGAUACAUGAUAAACACAUGGGCUUAGAAAGAUUGAUAAUCAGAAGGUGGGUAUGAUUUUCACAUAUUCAUGUCAUAUAAUUCG
This is a long non-coding RNA of Xenia sp. Carnegie-2017, 212 nucleotides long. RefSeq lists it as uncharacterized. The transcript has 3 exons. NCBI's taxonomy places the organism in Eukaryota, Metazoa, Cnidaria, Anthozoa, Malacalcyonacea, Xeniidae. The record is from RefSeq and is a predicted model, not a curated record.